CAGAUGCGAAAGCGUGGGUAGCAAACAGGAUUAGAUACCUUGGUAGUCCACGCCGUAAAACGCUGCCUACUUGGAGGUUGAGGUUUUAGACCUUGGCUUUCGGCGCUAACGCAUUUAAGUAGACCGCCUGGGGAGUACGGCCGCAAGGUUAAAACUCAAAUGAAUUGACGGGGGCCCGCACAAGCGGUGGAGCAUGUGGUUUAAUUCGAUGCAACGCGAAGAACCUUACCUACUCUUGACAUCCAGCGAAGCCUUUAGAGAUAGAGGCGUGCCUUCGGGAGCGCUGAGACAGGUGCUGCAUGGCUGUCGUCAGCUCGUGUUGUGAAAUGUUGGGUUAAGUCCCGCAACGAGCGCAACCCUUAUCCUUGUUUGCCAGCACGUAAUGGUGGGAACUCCAGGGAGACUGCCGGUGAUAAACCGGAGGAAGGUGGGGACGACGUCAAGUCAUCAUGGCCCUUACGAGUAGGGCUACACACGUGCUACAAUGGCAGAUACAGAGGGCAGCGAGACAGCGAUGUUUAGCGAAUCCCUUAAAGUUUGUCGUAGUCCGGAUUGGAGUCUGCAACUCGACUCCAUGAAGUCGGAAUCGCUAGUAAUCGUGGAUCAGAAUGCCACGGUGAAUACGUUCCCGGGCCUUGUACACACCGCCCGU
Molecule: ribosomal RNA, 652 nt
Filed under: uncultured bacterium
Lineage: Bacteria
Description: bacterial SSU rRNA
Rfam family: Bacterial small subunit ribosomal RNA
Source: RNAcentral